AUUUUAAUGUGAUAAUAAUGAAUUUCUUAGCAUUCGCAAAGGAAUAUAAAAGGUGUUCAGUUCUCGUACUCUGAAAAAAAUAUGAUAAUAAUGGCGCUCCUUAAUCUUGUCUUAUUUCUUCUAAUUACUAUAUUAAAAAAUAUACCGGGAAUUAUGGAGCCGCUUACUCAAUUGCUUCAAAGCCUUUUGCCAGUGCUUCAAAGUUUACAGAGUUAUUUAGAAAAUUUGGGUAUAAAUUUAAACAGUACUUCAUCCGGUACUACAACAACUGCUGCACCGUCUCUUUUACCUCGUCUAAAUUUACCUAAAGUUACUGGUUAAAACAGUGAUCAGGUUCCUAUAUUUCGACCACUAAUGAAAACUGACAAACCUUAAUAGCGACAGAAAUAAAUUUUAGCAAGGCAAAAUAAAAUAGAUUUGACGUCAAACAAUAAAAUAUGACGUAUGCAAUUUAAUUUAUCAA
Leptopilina heterotoma is the source of this 463-nucleotide long non-coding RNA. RefSeq lists it as uncharacterized. The record is from RefSeq and is a predicted model, not a curated record. The transcript has 3 exons. NCBI's taxonomy places the organism in Eukaryota, Metazoa, Arthropoda, Insecta, Hymenoptera, Figitidae.